CAGCCGCCGCGGUAAUACGUAGGGUGCAAGCGUUAAUCGGAAUUACUGGGCGUAAAGCGUGCGCAGGCGGUUCGCUAAGACAGAUGUGAAAUCCCCGGGCUUAAACUGGGAACUGCAUUUGUGACUGGCGGGCUAGAGUAUGGCAGAGGGGGGUAGAAUUCCACGUGUAGCAGUGAAAUGCGUAGAUAUGUGGAGGAAUACCGAUGGCGAAGGCAGCCCCCUGGGAUAACACUGACGCUCAUGCACGAAAGCUAGGGGAGCAAAUGGGAUUAGAUACCCGCGUAGUCCCUGUCUCUUAUAA
Molecule: ribosomal RNA, 301 nt
Filed under: uncultured bacterium
Lineage: Bacteria
Description: partial 16S ribosomal RNA
Rfam family: Bacterial small subunit ribosomal RNA
Source: RNAcentral